AUUGAACGCUGGCGGCAGGCCUAACACAUGCAAGUCGAACGGUAACACGAAACGGCUUGCUGUUUCGCUGACGAGUGGCGGGCGGGUGAGUAAUGUCUGUGAAACUCCCUGAUGGAGGGGGAUAACUACUGGAAACGGUAGCUAUUACCGCAUAACGUCGCAAGACCAAAGAGCGGGACCUUCGGGCCCCUUGCCAUCGGAUGUGCCCAGAUGGGAUUAGCUAGUAGGUGGGGUAACGGCUCACCUAGGCGACGAUCCCUAGCUGGUCUGAGAGGAUGACCAGCCACACUGGAACUGAGACACGGUCCAGACUCCUACGGGAGGCAGCAGUGGGGAAUAUUGCACAAUGGGCGCAAGCCUGAUGCAGCCAUGCCGCGUGUAUGAAGAAGGCCUUCGGGUUGUAAAGUACUUUCAUCGGGGAGGAAGGGAGUAAAGUUAAUACCUUUACUCAUUGACGUUACCCGAAGAAGAAGCACCGGCUAACUCCGUG
Molecule: ribosomal RNA, 490 nt
Filed under: uncultured bacterium
Lineage: Bacteria
Description: partial 16S ribosomal RNA
Rfam family: Bacterial small subunit ribosomal RNA
Source: RNAcentral